This 377-nucleotide ribosomal RNA is filed under the name uncultured eukaryote. RNAcentral's name for it is "partial 18S ribosomal RNA". It matches the Rfam family "Eukaryotic small subunit ribosomal RNA", at positions 592 to 976 of the family's 1831-position model. The record is from RNAcentral.
CAAUAGCGUAUAUGUAAGUUGCUGCAGUUAAAAAGCUCGUAGUUGGAUUUCGGGUGGGAAUGGCCGGUCCGCCGUUUCGGUGUGCACUUGCUACGCCCACCUUGCUGCCGGGGACGUGCUCUUGAGUUCACGCUCGGGACACGGAGUCGGCGAGGUUACUUUGAGUAAAUUAGAGUGUUCAAAGCAGGCCUACGCUCUGAAUACAUUAGCAUGGAAUAACACGAUAGGACUCUGGCCUAUCUUGUUGGUCUGUAGGACCGGAGUAAUGAUUAAGAGGGACAGUCGGGGGCAUUCGUAUUUCAUUGUCAGAGGUGAAAUUCUUGGAUUUAUGAAAGACGAACUACUGCGAAAGCAUUUGCCAAGGAUGUUUUCAUUAA